Molecule: ribosomal RNA, 428 nt
Filed under: uncultured bacterium
Lineage: Bacteria
Description: bacterial SSU rRNA
Rfam family: Bacterial small subunit ribosomal RNA
Source: RNAcentral
AACGAACGCUGGCGGCGUGGAUCAGGCAUGCAAGUCGGACGAUCCUUCGGGAUAGUGGCAGAAGGGUUAGUAACGCGUGGGUAAUCUACCUUCGAGUUGGGAAUAACACCCCGAAAGGGGUGCUAAUACCGGAUGAAACUUUUCUUUCGCAUGAAAGAAAAAUCAAAGAUGGGGACCAUUAGGCCUGUCGCUUGAAGAUGAGCCCGCGUCCUAUCAGCUUGUUGGUGAGGUAAAAGCUCACCAAGGCUUUUGACGGGUAGCUGAUCUAAGAGGAUGAUCAGCAACACUGGGACUGAGACACUGCCCAGACUCCUACGGGAGGCUGCAGUCGAGAAUCUUUACCAAUGCUCGAAAGAGUGAGUAUGCGACGCCGCGUGUAGGAUGAAGGCCCUCGGGUCGUAAACUACUGUCAGGGGUGAGGAAACUUU